GGCUUUGCGCAGUGGCAGUAUUGUAGCCAAUGAGGUUUAUCCAAGGCGCGAUUAUUGCUAAUUGAAAACUUUUCCCAAUACCCUUCCAUGACGACUUUAAAUACAGUCAGCUUUGGCAAUUUUUGUCAGUCUCUAUGGAGA
Aotus nancymaae (Ma's night monkey) is the source of this 141-nucleotide small nuclear RNA. Its record names the gene U4. It matches the Rfam family "U4 spliceosomal RNA". From Rfam's summary of the family: U4 small nuclear RNA (U4 snRNA) is a component of the major U2-dependent spliceosome. The structure of U4 snRNA from yeast and human has been reported. Lineage: Eukaryota; Metazoa; Chordata; Mammalia; Primates; Aotidae. The record is from Ensembl.